AAAGGCACUGGAUUUUUCUCAGGAUCAACAUUAGUACCCAUUGGAAGUGCAACUGCAGGAUAUGUGUUGGAAACUACAAUUACAAACUCAAAACAAUUAAGAAAGACAUAUAAAUUGAGUAAACACAAUGAAGUGGCACGAAACCUAGAACACACCAAGUAAAACUAUCAAAGCAGCACCAUUGUUCACAUAACAUACAAUCAACUAAAAACCGCUAGCGUAAAAUGGCCCAUCUUACUUUGUUCUCGCAAUUCACUGCCCAUUCUUAUAUCCACUUUUAAUAUUGUUGUGGAGG
Molecule: long non-coding RNA, 295 nt
Filed under: Helianthus annuus (common sunflower)
Lineage: Eukaryota; Viridiplantae; Streptophyta; Magnoliopsida; Asterales; Asteraceae
Description: hypothetical non coding rna
Source: RNAcentral